GAGAGUUAAACAGUACGUGAAAUUGUUGAAAGGGAAACGAUUGAAGCCAGUCGUACCUAUGGGUAAUCAGCCUUUUGGGUGUGAUUUUGUGGAGCGUGAGGAGUUAAACGCCUUCAUGCCUGCAUAUUCGUGCACUUUGGGUGUACUUGCCCGUGUGUAAGUUAACAUCAAUUUUGGUGGUCAUAAAAUGGCUGGAGGAAUGUAGCUUCGAUCUUGUAUUGAAGUGUUAUAGCCUUCGGUAGAUGUGACGAUCGGGAUUGAGGAUUGCAACGGAUACCCUUCGGGGCUACCUGUCUGGUCUCUGAUUGUUGCUCUGGUGCCGAAAGCUUGCUUACGGUUAUCAAAGUCGAUGGUCAAUAGGUUAGAAUGGGUUAAAUUCGUUAAGGAUGUUGACGUAAUGGCUUUAAACGA
RNAcentral lists this ribosomal RNA (411 nucleotides) under uncultured Rhizophagus. RNAcentral's name for it is "partial 28S ribosomal RNA". Lineage: Eukaryota; Fungi; Glomeromycota; Glomeromycetes; Glomerales; Glomeraceae. The record is from RNAcentral.